This 783-nucleotide ribosomal RNA is filed under the name Triticum aestivum (bread wheat). Its description in RNAcentral is "partial small subunit ribosomal RNA". The record is from RNAcentral. Lineage: Eukaryota; Viridiplantae; Streptophyta; Magnoliopsida; Poales; Poaceae.
AUGGCAGAUUGUGCAUGGAUGUAUAGUGGUUGGCAGUAUGGUCAAAUACCUUCUAACUUAUGGCUUGAACAAACCAACCGAUUUCUAGACCAUGCAUUCUCUUGUCCUGGUGUAGCCGAAUGUGGUAAAAUCAAGUGUCCAUGUGCUAAGUGUCAUAAUUAUAAUAAGCGCGGCAGGGAUGAGGUAGAGAAACACUUGUAUAAAUAUGGGUUUAGGGAAAACUAUGAAACGUGGAUAGAACAUGGUGAGAAGUAUGUUCCUAGCCAAGAUGGAUCUUCCUCUGCCACAAAUUGUGUGAGGCACGACGAAAUUGACCGAAUGGACAAUAUGUUAGUUGACCUAGGUGGCAACUGUCCUCCACCAAUUGAUGAAGAACCAACCUCCUCUGCCAAGGCUUUCUAUAGGAUGGUUAGCAGUGCUGAUGAAAUUGUCCAUGAGAACACAACACACUCACGUCUUUCUGCAGUAGCCCGUUUGCUAGCACUAAAAUCUCAGUAUAAUAUGUCAAUUGCAGAAUAUGAUGAUGUGUUACAAAUCAUCCAUGAACUUAUGCCUCCGGGUGCUAACUUGUCCAAGGACUUCUACCAAUCUAAGAAACUCUUAGAAGGCCUUGGUAUGCCUUAUGUCAAGAUUGAUGUCUGUAAAAAUAAUUGCAUGUUGUACUAUAAAGAUAAUGAGCAUAAAGAGAAGUGUGACAUCUGCGGUACAUCUCGCUACGAGGAAGGCCAGAAUAAAGUCCCACGUAAAGUGUUGAGAUAUCUCCCUCUGAAAGAUAGAUUAUAG